UUUAUAGUUCAUAAUGCAUGAGCAAAACCGAAAGUUUCUGUGAUGGCUGCCCUUGUACUGUUCACCAUGUAAGAACUUAUUCACUAUGUAAGAAUUUGUUCUCCAUGUAAGAACUUGUUUGUUAUGCCUCAGAAGAUUGGAGACUGACGAAAAUUAGGCUUAGGGUGGAUUAAUGAUUGUGCAUUGAGCAUUGACUCCCCUAUACAGAAUUUUAUUGUCAUUAACAACCAUUUGAUCAAUAAAUAUGAGAGAUGCCCUCACAAAGAAAAGAAAAGAAAAGAAAAAGAAUAACAAAGUACCCAUCCCUUUCUGCUGGAUGUUGAUGAGGAUUUUGUAACUCAUGUGCAAAAAGGAGGAAUACAGAGAAACAAUGUAGCUAGACUUUGUAUUUUAUUUAUUCAGUGUAGGUUUAAUGAAGACACAGUCUUCAGUGUAUUGUACUUCAUUUAAUUAGUCCUCUGUUUAAAAUUUUCUUUUAGUUACUGGGAGGGGAAGAUAAAUUCUUUAUAAACUAGGAGGAAAUGUUUAUAUCAGGCAGUGAAAAAUUGGACUCCAAGCUCGCUGUGGCCUGCCAGAGCACAGGCAUGUGGCUGCUGCUCCAGAGGUCUGUCCUGCCUUUCUAAGAGUUGAGGAACUUAGGCCCACAGAGGCCUUGCAUGCAGCUGCUGUGUGUGAAGCUUGGGAGGCAGGGGAGUCUGAGAGCUGCUCAGCAGGCCCAGCAACCUCACUGUCUUUCCUCCUACCCCAACUGUGCCUUCACUGUUCUCUGCAGUUUUCCAAGAGCAACAGGAAAUGAACAAAUCAGAGGUUCAUCUUGUCCUUACCUAAACUUUUUCUGGUCUUCAUGCAGCUGGCAUCCUUACAUUGUGCAUUAUUUUCAGAGAUAACUCAGAAAGUGUUAACAAACACUAAAAACUCUCUGUACUCUUUUGUUGCUACAUGCUCAUUUAUCCCAUUAGGUAAGUUCCGUUUUAACCCUUAAGUUUUGAAAGUCCAUUAUACUGAGUUUUUUCUACAUGUCUUAAGGAUAGAUUCUGAUUAUAGUUUGAUUUCUUAGAUGGCUUAUAGUUUUUUUUCUGGUUUUCUAAACUUCUUGGUUCAAUAUUGGACACACAUUUAUUUUAAAAAUUAUAAAUUUAGUUUUCAAGUUAUUUUGCAUCGCUGUGUUUAAAACAUGAUUUUUAAAAUAUUUAAUGUUAAUUUUUUAUUCCAAUGUUUAUCAGUUAUUAAAUGGUAUUUUAAUGUAGAAGCUGCUGAUUAGAGAUAGCAAAACUGUGUUCUGGCUACUCAUAUAUCUGAAAGCCUGAAAUUUUGGCAUGUGGAUAUAGGAUUGAUAUUUUCAGAUGGGGAUAGUGUUCUUGAAAUACUCUACAAGGAGAGGACACAUACACUUUCAUAGUGAUGCCAGCCACUACUGUAUACCAAGCUGUCAUGGUUUUAGUUUUUUUUCUUUCUUUACCUUUUUUUUUUUUUUCUGUGUUUGUAUGCAUUGGGUAAUGUAUUCCCUUUGGAAAAAUAAAUACACUAUAAACAGUA
This is a long non-coding RNA of Manis pentadactyla (Chinese pangolin), 1536 nucleotides long. RefSeq lists it as uncharacterized. The transcript is spliced from 2 exons. Lineage: Eukaryota; Metazoa; Chordata; Mammalia; Pholidota; Manidae. The record is from RefSeq and is a predicted model, not a curated record.